GAUGGAUCGCGUCAAGAACCUCAACAAGCGGAUGGACAUGGAGGACUCGCCCGCUAAGCGUUCGCUGCUGCUGAGCGACCCUCUGCGGCUGAACCAGCCUGGCUCGCCUCGUCAGCGGCUGCCAGGCCUCUGGGGCGUGCACGGUCAGGUCAGGUCGUUGUUCGACAAGCCUAUGACCUUCCCACGCGGCUCGCUGUUCGACCAGCCGCCAUUCGCCAGGCACUCGUCCUUCGGCUCCCAGCCGGCGGCGGAGAGCUCGGACAGCGGCAGCCAACACGAGGACGACGCGCCCGCCGCCGCCACCACCAAAACCAAACCAUGGUCAAGAAGACGUCCACACCGAAAACACGCGUGGCCUCCGUGACAUUCAAGAUAGUGCCGAAGGGCGAUCAGUAGGCUGAUAUAGCCGGCCGAGUACUUCUGGCGGCCAACGUUUGACAAUCAGUUCUGACCGCGGCCCGUCCUCUGGCCAGAGACAAAUACCACCCACCGCACCCCGGGCGAACAUGAUUCGACGUCCGCUGCCAAGAGGCUGGGCUCGUCGCCCUGUCCCCGCUUCGCAGCGGCCUGCUGCGAUGAGGCUGGUCCGAAGGUCGGCUUCCCCUGCACGGGUCGUAUCAUCGAAGCGGGUCGGAGGGUCGGCU
RNA transcript from Pollicipes pollicipes, 644 nucleotides. RefSeq lists it as uncharacterized. Lineage: Eukaryota; Metazoa; Arthropoda; Thecostraca; Pollicipedomorpha; Pollicipedidae. The record is from RefSeq and is a predicted model, not a curated record. The transcript is spliced from 6 exons.